AAAUGCCUAUCUUGCUAUUUUUCUCUUCUACUCAACACUUGGUUGGAUGCUUGGUUGGAUCCUUCAAAUGAAACCAUUUGCUUCCAAUUUAUAGCCAAAGGAAGUGACUUCUCAAAGAAGCCAAAGGUUAGGCAAAGUCAACAAUAGCCUACCACCAUGCAUUCACAUAGGCAAAGUCAACAAUAGCCUACCACCAUUUGUGAAAGCCAAUUAAUGCAUUCACAUUGCAACUUCAACAAUAGCCUACCACUUUUGACUAUUGGUUUGAGGCAAUAAUCAACAAUUAUCCGGAGACUAUGUUUUUCCAUUAAACUUUCUUUUUGUCCAUCUUUCUGUACCACCUGGAGUGCACUAUGCUUGUACUUCUCAGUUAUCCAUAACGUAAUUACUUUGCCACAUGCCUUGACUUUGUGGUAUCUUGAUGUAUGUAUUAUCCAUCCUCACCCUUUCUCUUCCUUUCAACGUGUUACUGAUUGUUAAUCUGCCAUUUGAUCUUUGUCAGUUUCAAUGUCUCAUAUUCAAGCAGACGAAGUACAUAGUUAUGGCUUCUCUUUCUGGGCGUGAAGUAGAAUAUUGCAACAUAGCCAAAUUUGACAUAACUUCUAUAUAUAUGUUUGAUGGAUUAAUCUCGUGAGACGUACUCAUUCUGCCAUCACUUGGUGUCUAACCUCCUAUGAUGUUUUAUCUACAAAUGUGAAACUGUUGUAUAUCUAGAAAGUAUGAAAGUGGGAGGUAAAAAAAAGGAAUAUCUUAGAAGCAAAAAGAUGGCCAAGCCUUGUGAAAUUCAUGGCAGCAUGCAUGGGUGCCAUGUAGCAUAAAAUAGAAUAUGUAUUUGCAGGAUCACACUGUUCUCUUAUCGAAGCGUCACCUUUUGUAACUUAUGAUUGAAUUAAUUGCAUGAAAAUAGUGACCAGCAGGACCAUAAUGCAAUUAUAUUACGUGAAAGGAUUUCACACAUUCCAUAUUGUUAUUUUGUUGCAUACAAUUAGUGAUGUCUAAAGUCUGAAUUCUUUUCCUUUUAUUUUCCUAACUAUAUUCACGAUUAUAGUAAUAGGACAGAUGAUUCCUGACCUCUCAUUUUUAAUCUUCUAGUAUUUCUUAAAACUAUCUUUUCAGAGAUUGUUCCAUUUGCUUCAGGCUUUAUCAGGUGCGGCAAAAGUUGUAUGAGCUACUUCUUAAUUGUAUUCCUCCAGAGAUCAUCUUGAAGAGGCUUCUUUAUGAGUUAUUGAAGAAGUUGGAUGCAGAGUUGAAGCACGAGGUCUGCCAUUGGGCUGCAUAUUAUGAACAUAGGAUGCGUCUUGGGCAGAAAGCUAUAUUUCACCUUGAAGCUUUCGUGGCCAAGUUCAUGAGCAUUUAUAAGGGUUUCCUCAUUGCAGCAUUUGGUUGAACACCAGACUUGCAUGAUUUCCUUGAAUCAAAAAUGUUACUUUGAACAUGAUGGCAGUGAACUGUGUACAUGUGUCACUAUACAUUAUGGGAAGAUUUUGUAGUAAGUCUCUUCUCUUUCAUUGUUUUUCCUUUUCUAUUUGAAAAUUGGCUGUACCUCCCGAAGUUAAGAUCUUUGCCUGGCUGUUUCUACAGAAUUGGCUAAAUACUACAGAAAAGUUAGCCAAGUUCAUGGACAUCCGAUGUCUCCAUUUGUAAUCAAAGUGAUGAACUUUUUAAUCAUCUCUGUUUGGAGUGACAUUUUGCCCAACAAAUCUGUUCUCAACUUUCACCCUUCUUAAGCUAAACAUUCCUGUAGGCAUUAAUAUUGUUUAGUAAGAGUCUACCUCACCUGAUUGUGAAAAAAACUGACUGUUUGCUGGCAAA
Long non-coding RNA from Prunus dulcis (almond), 1812 nucleotides. RefSeq lists it as uncharacterized. The transcript has 4 exons. Lineage: Eukaryota; Viridiplantae; Streptophyta; Magnoliopsida; Rosales; Rosaceae. The record is from RefSeq and is a predicted model, not a curated record.